UAAUAUGCAUCAUGCAUGGGGGUCAUACAACUAUAAAAUAGCAGACAAAGAGAGAGGUAUCUCUCCCUAUAUUUGUGAAGGAGCUAGGGUUGAACCUGUUGCUGCAACCAAAUGUUCAUUUCUGUUGCAUUCUAAAGCAUAAAACCUCAACAUAUUCUCCCUCUUGCCUGAUCUGAGGUGAGGAAAGCUGGUUGCAGACAUUAAAUUUUUUAAGUCAUUUUCUAGGCAUGAUCUCUCUGGAUGACUUGAAUCCCUAAACACUGCUGUUCUUUGAUCAUUUAUACUUGGAGUUGCAAACAAAGACUAGCUAAAGACCAUGAUGGCAAGUGAUAGUAUUGAAGAUUCCGAGACCAGCCAGGACAACAACAACAAGGAAGGCUGCAGUGAAGAUGAAGAGGAGGAGGUGAACAAGAGUAACAGCAAGGCAGCAAAUGGAGAGAGCUCAAGCAAUAGCUCAAUUGAAGAAAAUGGGAAGAAGCAUGCUUCUGGAUCUGUUAGGCAGUAUAAUCGUUCCAAGACACCCAGACUCCGGUGGACUCCUGAUCUCCAUCUUUGCUUUGUUCAUGCAGUUGAAAGACUAGGAGGACAAGAUAGAGCAACACCCAAGUUGGUUCUUCAAUUGAUGAACAUCAAAGGCCUUAGCAUAGCUCAUGUGAAGAGUCAUCUACAGAUGUACAGAAGCAAGAAGAUUGAUGACCCCAAUCAAGCCAUGACAGAGCAAGGGCUUCUGUUUGAAGGUGGAGAUCACCCUACAUACAAACUCAGCCACCUUCCCAUGCUGCACAGUUUUGAUAAUCAGAGGCCUUCUUCAAGUUUUCGGUAUGGUGAUGUUUCGUGGAGAGGGAAUGAUCAAAAGGUCUAUGGCUCUCAUAGGGGUGGCAGUGCAUUGGCGUUGGAUAUAGCAACAAAAGGGCUUUACACUUCGGUCACAGAGAGAUUGUUUGGAAGCUAUCACAAUAACUCACUUGGCAUUAGUUCCCCAAUGGCUGAUUCUUGUGUCAGAGGAAAAGCUGCUUCAGGAAGAAGAACUCACCAAACGCUGGAAGAAGUUCAAUCUCUUCCUGGAUCCUGGCAAACACAAACAAGGCCAAGCAGAUUAGGUCCCAUUACUUUCACAGCCCAGUUUCAGGAGAGAGGAACAGAUCAAACUAGAUGUCUGAGCAGCAUCAACAAUUCAAAGCAAAAUAGCUGGAGAAUGACUCAAGAAGCCCAAGACAGGCUGAAGAGGAAGACUUCGGCUUCAAAUCAUGACCUGGAUUUAAAGUUAUCCCUGAAAAUGACACCACCAAACAUUAAUGAUGAUGAUGAAUCUGAAAGGGAUAGUUUGGAAAGAUUUGCUGGUAGUUUGUCUCUUUCUUUAUCUUCACCUUCAUCAUCUUCGAAGCUUAGCAGCUUGAAGGAAGGAAAUGCUGAUGGCAGAAAGCAUUCAAGGACCAUGGCAAGUACCCUGGAUCUGACUCUAUGAAAGAGACAUUAAAUGAUCAGAUCUUGAAGCACUUGAUCAAUGAGACAAUUCAUAAUCAAUGUGGAAUGAGACAAUUCGUAUUCAAUGCAGAUGUAUUUGACAGGAAAUUAUAAUGCAGUGAUCUUACAAGAGAGUUCCAUCAAAAUCUACAUUAUUCUAUGCAUGUAGAUAUCUUGGGGGGCAGAAGAUUUUUUCCUGAAGGGCUUUAGCAUCUUAAUUCAGAAAUUAGUGUAUGCAUGGUUCCUUGUGUUCAUCAUAUGCAAAUGGGUUUCUAUUGCUUUA
RNA transcript from Theobroma cacao (cacao), 1747 nucleotides. It is a transcript of the gene named Homeodomain-like superfamily protein, with no coding region annotated. Lineage: Eukaryota; Viridiplantae; Streptophyta; Magnoliopsida; Malvales; Malvaceae. The record is from RefSeq and is a predicted model, not a curated record.